RNAcentral lists this transfer RNA (73 nucleotides) under Caudoviricetes sp. RNAcentral's name for it is "tRNA-Leu". It matches the Rfam family "tRNA". Rfam says of the family: Transfer RNA (tRNA) molecules are approximately 80 nucleotides in length. Their secondary structure includes four short double-helical elements and three loops (D, anti-codon, and T loops). The record is from RNAcentral. Lineage: Duplodnaviria; Heunggongvirae; Uroviricota; Caudoviricetes.
GGCCCCGUAUCCCAAAGGCAGAGGAAGCGCACUCAAAAUGCGUUCAGUCUCGGUUCGAAUCCGAGGGGGGCUA